GUGUCAGCAGCCGCGGUAAUACAGAGGGUGCAAGCGUUAAUCGGAAUUACUGGGCGUAAAGCGCGCGUAGGCGGCUAUUUAAGUCGGGUGUGAAAGCCCCGGGCUCAACCUGGGAAUUGCAUCCGAUACUGAAUGGCUAGAGUAUGAGAGAGGGAGGUAGAAUUCCACGUGUAGCGGUGAAAUGCGUAGAUAUGUGGAGGAAUACCGGUGGCGAAGGCGGCCUCCUGGCUUAAUACUGACGCUGAGGUGCGAAAGCGUGGGGAUCAAACAGGAUUAGAUACCCUGGUAGGCCACGCCGUAAACGAUGUCAACUAGCCGUUGGGAACCUUAGUGUUCUUGGUGGCGCAGCUAACGCGAUAAGUUGACCGCCUGGGGAGUACGGUCGCAAGAUUAAAACUUAAAGGAAUUGACGGGG
This 415-nucleotide ribosomal RNA is filed under the name uncultured prokaryote. Its description in RNAcentral is "bacterial SSU rRNA". It matches the Rfam family "Bacterial small subunit ribosomal RNA", at positions 505 to 918 of the family's 1533-position model. The record is from RNAcentral.